RNAcentral lists this ribosomal RNA (382 nucleotides) under uncultured eukaryote. RNAcentral describes it as "partial 18S ribosomal RNA". It matches the Rfam family "Eukaryotic small subunit ribosomal RNA", at positions 592 to 976 of the family's 1831-position model. The record is from RNAcentral.
UGUAAGCGUAUACCAAAGUUGUUGCAGUUAAAACGCUCGUAGUCGGAAUUUGGCAGUUCCGGAUGUGUGCACGUCGUGUGCGCACUUCGCGGGGAUUGCUUUUGUGGUCUUGCGUAGGAUGAGGCACUUUUAUUAGUGAACGUCCUCACGCAACCACUUUUUACUGUGAGAAAAUCAGAGUGCUCAAAGCAGGCAUUUGCCGUGAAUGUAUUAGCAUGGAAUAAUAGAAUAGGACUUGGUUCUAUUUUGUUGGUUUGUUGGGACUGAGUAAUGAUUAAGAGGGACAGUUGGGGGCACUUGUAUUUCGGCGCUAGAGGUGAAAUUCUUAGAUUGCCGAAAGACAAACUGCUGCGAAAGCGUCUGCCAAGGAUGUUUUCAUUGA